Molecule: ribosomal RNA, 280 nt
Filed under: uncultured Staphylococcus sp.
Lineage: Bacteria; Bacillati; Bacillota; Bacilli; Caryophanales; Staphylococcaceae
Description: partial 16S ribosomal RNA
Rfam family: Bacterial small subunit ribosomal RNA
Source: RNAcentral
CCUUUGACGUUAGCGGCGGACGGGUGAGUAACACGUGGGUAACCUACCUAUAAGACUGGGAUAACUUCGGGAAACCGGAGCUAAUACCGGAUAAUAUUUCGAACCGCAUGGUUCGAUAGUGAAAGAUGGUUUUGCUAUCACUUAUAGAUGGACCCGCGCCGUAUUAGCUAGUUGGUAAGGUAACGGCUUACCAAGGCGACGAUACGUAGCCGACCUGAGAGGGUGAUCGGCCACACUGGAACUGAGACACGGGUCCAGACUCCUACGGGAGGCAGCAGAG